CAGCCGUAAACUAUGCUCGCUAGGUGUCAGGCAUGGCGCGACCGUGUCUGGUGCCGCAGGGAAGCCGUGAAGCGAGCCACCUGGGAAGUACGGCCGCAAGGCUGAACUUAAGGAAUUGGCGGGGGAGCACAACAACGGGUGGAGCCUGCGGUUUAAUUGGACUCAACGCCGGACAACUCACCGGGAACGACAGCAAUAUGUAGGCCAGGCUGAAGACUCUGCAUGACUAGCUGAGAGGAGGUGCAUGGCGUAGACGUCU
This 259-nucleotide ribosomal RNA is filed under the name uncultured archaeon. Its description in RNAcentral is "partial 16S ribosomal RNA". It matches the Rfam family "Archaeal small subunit ribosomal RNA", at positions 748 to 1009 of the family's 1478-position model. The record is from RNAcentral.